UUGUCUUUUGCACAGAUGUGACAUUAGAAAACAUAUGUCUCGAAUUAAAAACAAAUACAAAUUAGUGAUUUUAUUGUGUGUUCCUUUACUUACUUUAUAUUUUAUUUUACACUUUUCACACUGCUUUUGCAUUGUUGUCUAAUUUUUGUAAAAUAAUUAUUAACAUGGUGUAAUAUGCCAUGUGCUGCUGUUCAUCUGAGAUUGUAUUUAGCUAAUUCUAUGACUAUAUUCUUGCUAAUAAAUAUGAUUAUUUUCAUCAGGUCUUGAUCUUUAAACCCUUCUUCAAGGUGUACUUUUCACCAUGCCGGUCAAUAGAUACUAAGAAAUUUUACAAAAGGAGUUUUUCACUUUUUCAUCUGUCUUAAAAAAAAGGAGCAUUGGACCAAAUAAGAUUUGACAAUAUUUGUGCUCAGGAGUGUGGGUUGUAGGGGAAGUUGGCGAUAAAUAGCAUAUUGCUGCAGGCCUGUUCAACUAAAACAAACAAACCAAAAAAUAAAUAAAUAAAUAAAUAAAAAAUCAAAACCUGCUCUUUGCAGAAUCCUUUGGAAGAACUCAAUUGCCAGAAGCAUGACAGCAAAAAGGGAAAGGAAAACAGAGGGAUGCAUGAAUGGAUGCAUGCAUGCAUGGAUGGAAGGAUGGAUGAAGCUGCAAUAAAACUUGGAGAUAAACUUCAGAUUGCUGCAGGGCUGUUCAAUUCACUGAUCCUGAAAACCAGAAAAACAAUCUGUUUUUAUCCCCCAGCCAUGCCAAUAGUCCUGUGCGUCUACCUUUCUUUCCUCUUGUUUGACUCGUCCAUCACUACCGCGCAUCCCUCCGACCCCAACCUCUCAAAAUCAAUUUUUCUUGAUCCAUCUGUCUUUAUCACUUCCUUCUCUCACUCUGUGUCUUCUUUCUUUUUCCCAUCUUUCUAGAUUUAUUUUUCUUCCAACUGAUUAUCUCUCUCUCUCUCUCUCUCUCUCUCAUUCUGGUCCUUUGGGAAAUCAAAGAACUUGAAUAAGUUUCACAUCACCACGGGAACAAAAAACUCAUAUGGUCGUCAUGGGAACACACACUCAUCCUGUCACCGCAGGAACCGUUUCAUUCAGUAGCCAGGGGAAACGUGACGAUUUCAUGUUCUUAGUCCCUUUGAUUGGCCUGCCAAGAGGAAAUGCCAAUUAAAUAUAGCUGUAAGCCAUACAAAACUCGCUGAAGUUCAGAAACUUCUGAGAAAGAGAACAGAGUAGAAAAGAUGAAGGUUACAGCUGGAUUUAAAAAAAAAGACUCACUCAUCAAUCAACAGACCUGUGGAUAGUGGGGAA
This is a long non-coding RNA of Astatotilapia calliptera (eastern happy), 1298 nucleotides long. NCBI's taxonomy places the organism in Eukaryota, Metazoa, Chordata, Actinopteri, Cichliformes, Cichlidae. The record is from Ensembl.